UCAGACCUACGGGGCGCAGCAGUGGGGGAUAUUGCACAAUGGGGGAAACCCUGAUGCAGCGACGCCGCGUGUGGGAAGACGGUCCUCUGGAUUGUAAACCACUGUCCCCAGGGACGAAAAUGACGGUACCUGGGGAGGAAGCUCCGGCUAACUACGUGCCAGCAGCCGCGGUAAUACGUAGGGAGCGAGCGUUGUCCGGAAUUACUGGGUGUAAAGGGAGCGUAGGCGGGGAUGCAAGCUG
This 241-nucleotide ribosomal RNA is filed under the name uncultured bacterium. RNAcentral's name for it is "partial 16S ribosomal RNA". It matches the Rfam family "Bacterial small subunit ribosomal RNA", at positions 333 to 590 of the family's 1533-position model. The record is from RNAcentral.